Molecule: non-coding RNA, 311 nt
Organism: Oryctolagus cuniculus (rabbit)
Lineage: Eukaryota; Metazoa; Chordata; Mammalia; Lagomorpha; Leporidae
Source: RefSeq, a predicted model, not a curated record
CCAAUGAGAAUAAAGGUUAUAGGUAUGAUGAAUGACCACAGAAAUGGACUUUUUAUAAAAUCAUUGCUUUCUGGAAUUGCCAGCCAGCAGCUGUUGGAGAAGAGAGAAAUUAUUUCAACAGACCAAGAAAGAGGUAAAACACCAUUAUUAUACAUGCCAAAGGACUUCUAAAUUGUUUUAUGCAUUGGAAUGUUAUCAUUUGAAUGAUCAAAAUCAUAUUUCCAGUCUGAAUGAUGUAGGAGGAAACUGAGAAGGUCUUCAUCUCUGUAAUGAAUUUAAAAAAUAAAAAGGCAUGCCUGCUUUCAACAGAA